RNAcentral lists this long non-coding RNA (683 nucleotides) under Helianthus annuus (common sunflower). RNAcentral describes it as "hypothetical non coding rna". The record is from RNAcentral. Lineage: Eukaryota; Viridiplantae; Streptophyta; Magnoliopsida; Asterales; Asteraceae.
UUAACUAUCCCUUAAUCUUUGACAUUUAUUCUCUACAGAACAAUCAGACCCUUCUGGAAACCCUCUUUUCUUCUCAACCUUCCACAACAACCGGUUAACCGCCGGCACCACCACCGGCGGCGUCGGAAUCUGGUACGUCUCCAGCGCCGGCGGCGGGUGGCGCCAGUGCGGUAGCGGCCCAGCCAAAAGCAAAUUCUGCAACAACGGCCCAGCUUUCACCACCGCUUCCAAAAACUUCCCGUUUUCCGGCAGUUUCUUCGCCGGAACCCUAAGUUCAUGAUUUUCCGGCGAGAUCUCCGGCGGCGUGAAAUGAACCGGCGGUUCGGUGAUUGAGGAUGAGACGAUGCUUUCGUCGCAAUCGGAGACGUGGUCGUCGGUUGAGGCGGAGUGGACUGAGUGCGGCGGCGGUGGUGCGGUGGUUUGACGGUGGUGGAGGAGUGUUUGGUAGCGGUUUUGAGCUUCGAGUUUUUCGUUAAUGGCGCUUGAGUUCUUCUAGGGCUUUGAAUCUUGCUGCUUCAAGCUCCAUUGUUGUGAUUAGUAGUGACUGUGUUAAUUCUUCUACACUCUGUUGGAAUAAGUUACAGCGAUUAAUUGGAUUGAAAUUUGUAUAAUGUAAUUCUCAGUUUUAUGUAUAUAUUUACACAUUUUUUUAGGUGAAUAUUUUAAGUAGAUAUGUUUUUACU